This 495-nucleotide ribosomal RNA is filed under the name uncultured Caldimonas sp. RNAcentral describes it as "bacterial SSU rRNA". It matches the Rfam family "Bacterial small subunit ribosomal RNA", at positions 8 to 498 of the family's 1533-position model. The record is from RNAcentral. Lineage: Bacteria; Pseudomonadati; Pseudomonadota; Betaproteobacteria; Burkholderiales; Sphaerotilaceae.
AGAGUUUGAUCAUGGCUCAGAUUGAACGCUGGCGGCGUGCUUAACACAUGCAAGUCGAGCGGCAGCGCGGUAGCAAUACUGGCGGCGAGCGGCGAACGGGUGAGUAAUGCUUCGGAAUCUGCCCAGUAGUGGGGAAUAACCAGUCGAAAGACUGGCUAAUACCGCAUACGACCUGAGGGUGAAAGCGGGGGAUCGCAAGACCUCGCGCUAUUGGAUGAGCCGAAGUCGGAUUAGCUAGUUGGUAGGGUAACGGCCUACCAAGGCGACAAUCCGUAGCUGGUCUGAGAGGACGACCAGCCACACUGGGACUGAGACACGGCCCAGACUCCUACGGGAGGCAGCAGUGGGGAAUAUUGGACAAUGGGGGCAACCCUGAUCCAGCGACGCCGCGUGUGUGAAGAAGGCCUGCGGGUUGUAAAGCACUUUUAGUGGGGAGGAAAAGCUCAGACCUAACACGUCUGGGAAUUGACUAACCCAAAGAAAAGACGCAUGGCC